Meleagris gallopavo (turkey) is the source of this 2846-nucleotide non-coding RNA. Lineage: Eukaryota; Metazoa; Chordata; Aves; Galliformes; Phasianidae. The record is from RefSeq and is a predicted model, not a curated record.
AGCCCAAACAAUGCUGAAACCCUGGAAAUCUGCUGGCAGUGACUAAUGCUCAUCUCCUUCCCCCUCUGUGCUGUGGUCCUGUUUACCCAAGGUGCAGAUGAUUACCUGGUUUUACCCACAAUACUCAAGCAAAAUGAUUCUGCACUUUGGAAAGACACCUGGCUGCUCACCUCAGCACAUCCUGAUGCUGCCUCUUAUCAGGAAAAAAAACAGCUCGGUAAGUUCUCCUUGUUGUAAUAUUUUGGGUGGAGGCCUCUUUGAAAAUGCUCCUGAAAUCAUGAGAUCACCUCAGCCCACCUUAUCUGGAGUGGAUAAAGGCAAGCAUCUGGUGCAAGUGGUAUUGAAACUCUCUUCUAAGGCAUGAUUGAAAAACUUCAGACGCCAAGCCUCAAGCUACAGCAGGAGCAAAUACCAUCCCCAUUUCACAGAAGGGUAAACUAGCUGACAGAAGCUGAUGUGUUGUUGGUUAUUAUACAGUUAGUAGCAGGGGUAGAGGAGUGAGUGGAGAGCAGCCUCUAACUUCAUCUCAAGCUUCUGUAGAAGGAUGGCAGAGAGGGAGGAAGAGGAGGGAAAAGACAUGGAGAGGUAGUAAAGAAAGCAAGGCACCAUCUAACUUCCCAACUGAUGCUUGGCAGCUGAACACAUUGCUAAGCAUCAUGGCUAUCUUGAGAACACCUUGUGAUAAGUACAUCGGGGUCAUUGUUUUGGAAGAGGCUGAAGUGAUGAAAACUCACUGGAGGGCUGCGGAUAGAGGGAAGUGCUGGGAAGGAAGCCAGCACCUCCGGCACUGGAAAGCUGGAGGCUCUCCAAGUGACGUGUAUGGUGAGCCAGGGACUAUCCUGCUCAUGGGCCUAUUUGUCACACUAAACUAGAUUAUCACCCUAUAUGCUUAUAAAUCCUUCCACAAAUAUACUCCAGGAUUACGGAUGUGGCGUGCAGGCAACUGGCAAGGAGGUUUCUGACUCAUGAAAACAGAGCUCCAACCAUUCCCCUUCCAUUCAGUAUUUUGGGGUUGACACUUCUUGUGGUUGACCUCUCCCUUACAUAUCCAUUUCCCCACUGUUCUCAUCCAUGCAGAGUUCAUCUUGUUGGCUGCAGUGUUCCACCUAAGUGAACUGGUAGAUGACCCAUCUUUGGAGACAUUCAAGCUCAGGCUGGUUGGGGCUCUGAGCACCUGAUCAAGCUGUGGGUGUCCCUGUUCAUUGCAGGGGAAUUGGACCAGAUGGCCUUUAAGGGUCCCUUCCAACCCAAAUGAUUCUAUGAGCUGGGAGCCUGAGUUGUUCAUAUCUGCCUUCCUCCCACUGCCACCAACACAGACAAAUCACUGUUAUUAUUAUCAGAUACUGCUAGUAUUGAGAACAGUUAAACAGUUUUCACAGAAUAUAAUCAUCUCAAUUGAUGCUGAAUUUGAAGUUUCCAGUAUUAAAUCAGCAUCGAAACAUGCAAUUCUGAUUUCAGUUCUAUUUUUAUUUGCAUGAGGAAAAUCUGAAGAUGAUGUGGGAAAAACCUGUUUGUUCUGGUGGUCUCAUGCUCUGGAGUUACUUCUGCGGAUCUGAAGAUGUCCUCCUGCCAGAGGUCUCUGAAGAGCACUGUAAAGACACAGUGCAGAGACAACCCUGCAAUUCCAAGCCAGCUUCAUCAUUAUCCUUCUGCUCCUCAGAUAAAUCCAAGACCCUAGGAUGUGAAGUAUUGGGAGGAAAAAAUAGAGGCAUGGCGAGGAAACAGCAGAAAAUUGUUCAUAAUCAGGUCAAAACAUUGCUGGGCAGUGAUUCUGUUCCUGUGUACCACCAAGCUCUUCUUGCACCCGCUAAAAUCUAGUGGAAGCUGUUAAAUUUUGCGUAACAUCCAACUUAGUUCUGCCAGACCUCUGUGAAGAGGAAGCAACAGGUUGAGUGUGAGCAGAGGGACUGCACAUCUCGAGUACUGAAGUUGACUCAUUACUCUGCAAUACAGUCACCGGAGCCAUGUGGGGAUAGAAGACAAAGUGAUGAAUCAGGCCCAGCGUUUGCUGCAAGUUUAGAGUGCUGUCUGGUUGGCAAAUAGCUCUGAAACCAGUCCCAGUGCUGCAUUCUGCCAAGGCUUCCAUCGCAGAUAUGAAGAAGUCUGGAAAGCCACCUCCACGCUCUGAUGCAGCACUACAGCAGAGCCCUGAAGUGGCAGCUGUGAAAUGCAGAACAGCCAGACAAAGCUGAUAACAUGUUUGUACAGCCCAGGGUGUCAGGAGGAAUCAGCUCCACGGAGCAGACAAGGAGGCAGAGAAGUGAAGUUUUAGGUUCUCUCCUUGGUUUGCUACAUUGCAAAGCAAGCUGUCCUCAAGUCCUCUGGGAAGCCUUUCUGCACAACAAUUAUCCCUCUCUUCGAGUCUGAAAGGGGAAUACUGGCGAGGUUCAGAGAAACACUGAAAGGUUCUUGCAUUAAGGACUUCAGAGUGUGACCCUGCGAAUGCCAGAGGCCAGCUAGCAUCUUCCUCCAGAAGCACAUAUCGGGUCUUGACCACAGAGGGUGGUUAGUGUGCAGCACUGCAGUACACACAACCCAACCUGCUGCAAAAUUACUCCCCCAGAUGGAUCCCCUCCACUAAGGACAAUAUAAGUCAGACAUUAGAAGGUGGGGCACAAUGCUGCGCUUGGGAAGAUGCUUUCCUUCGAAAUAAGGCUGAGCUACAAGGAAAACUGCCUGCAGAAGAGCUUUGCUGAAUUUAAGGUAUGGAAGAACGAGAGAUUCAUGGCAUCUCUUAGGCAGAUGAAUAAAUUAUAGUUUUUGAUAUAUUUUCAAAGGUGUCGUUUGGCAAUUUAUAUCCAUGAAAUGUAAAUGCCUCUGACUUCUGCCAUAGAAAGAAAUCAACA